CCAAACCAUGCUCAAUAGAGUUCAAGGCAGCCACCAAAGCCACCAGGACAUGUGGUCUACAUAGUGGACCUUUCUACAUAAAGUUACUCCUUCAGACUGAGAGAAGUAACUGUUUCACCCAGCUCAUAGAAACAAACACAGAAAGUCAAGCAAAAUGAAAAGACAGAAGAAUAUGCUCCAAAUGGAAGGAAAAGACAAAACUUUAGGAAAUAAGAACUACAGAGAGGACCUCAUAAGCAGAUCUUUCCCAUUUGAGUCUCCAAUGUGA
Molecule: long non-coding RNA, 268 nt
Filed under: Mustela putorius furo (domestic ferret)
Lineage: Eukaryota; Metazoa; Chordata; Mammalia; Carnivora; Mustelidae
Description: lncRNA (ENSMPUG00000031603.1)
Source: RNAcentral